This 445-nucleotide ribosomal RNA is filed under the name uncultured bacterium. RNAcentral describes it as "bacterial SSU rRNA". It matches the Rfam family "Bacterial small subunit ribosomal RNA", at positions 29 to 516 of the family's 1533-position model. The record is from RNAcentral.
AGCGAACGCUGGCGGCAGGCUUAACACAUGCAAGUCGAACGGGCGUAGCAAUACGUCAGUGGCAGACGGGUGAGUAACGCGUGGGAACGUACCUUUUGGUUCGGAACAACCCAGGGAAACUUGGGCUAAUACCGGAUAAGCCCUUACGGGGAAAGAUUUAUCGCCGAAAGAUCGGCCCGCGUCUGAUUAGCUAGUUGGUGUGGUAACGGCGCACCAAGGCGACGAUCAGUAGCUGGUCUGAGAGGAUGAUCAGCCACAUUGGGACUGAGACACGGCCCAAACUCCUACGGGAGGCAGCAGUGGGGAAUAUUGGACAAUGGGCGCAAGCCUGAUCCAGCCAUGCCGCGUGAGUGAUGAAGGCCCUAGGGUUGUAAAGCUUCUUUUGUGCGGGAAGAUAAUGACGGUACCGCAAGAAUAAGCCCCGGCUAACUUCGUGCCAGCAGCA